This 164-nucleotide ribosomal RNA is filed under the name Camellia formosensis. Its description in RNAcentral is "Camellia sinensis f. formosensis 5.8S ribosomal RNA". It matches the Rfam family "5.8S ribosomal RNA". From Rfam's summary of the family: 5.8S ribosomal RNA (5.8S rRNA) is a component of the large subunit of the eukaryotic ribosome. It is transcribed by RNA polymerase I as part of the 45S precursor that also contains 18S and 28S rRNA. Functionally, it is thought that 5.8S rRNA may be involved in ribosome translocation. Lineage: Eukaryota; Viridiplantae; Streptophyta; Magnoliopsida; Ericales; Theaceae. The record is from RNAcentral.
UAAACGACUCUCGGCAACGGAUAUCUCGGCUCUCGCAUCGAUGAAGAAUGUAGUAAAAUGCGAUACUUGGUGUGAAUUGCAGAAUCCCGCGAACCAUCAAGCCUUUGAACGCAAGUUGCGCCCAAAGCCAUUAGGUUGAGGGCACGUCUACCUACGCGUCUCAC